UAGUUAGCCGUGGCUUCCUCUCUCGGUACCGUCAGACCUUCGUCCCGAGUGACAGAGGUUUACAACCCGAAGGCCUUCAUCCCUCACGCGGCAUCGCUCCGUCAGGCUUGCGCCUAUUGCGGAAGAUUCUCGA
RNAcentral lists this ribosomal RNA (133 nucleotides) under uncultured bacterium. Its description in RNAcentral is "partial 16S ribosomal RNA". The record is from RNAcentral.